GCGGCGGGGUGCGAGGUAAGCAAGGGGUAAGUGCUUUAGGGAUCUAGAGAGGAUGACAAGGGGUGAAUCGGCCGCGGGGUGCGGGCUGGCGGCGGACGCCGAUGGCUGCUGGCCGCCAGAUAGGGUGGCAACGGGGUGCGCGGGAAGGAGAUAUCGUAGCGAGGUGCGGCGGGACGGGGAUGUCGCGUUGGAUUGAGGCAGGACGGAAAGAGGCGGCGGCCGAGGUGUGGGAGCACGAGAGAGAGACCAACCGGCGGAGAGAGGUCGUAGGGACCGGACUGGAGGGGUAGAGGUGGCAGGUCGAGUGCUUCUGGGUGCGUUGCCGUCUAAACCUAGCCCCGUCGCACGCGGACCAGUUCCCGUAGGGAGAGACAGAAACCGACCCGUCCCCGUGGCUUCGCCGACUCCUCCCUUUUACCGUUCGUGUUCGCCUUUUCGAUUUCUACCACCCUAGUACCUCCUUGUUGUCGCCAUCUCAUAUUUGAUGUCUCUUCAUCCUGGUAUCUUCUUUUACUUAGAGCGUCACGAUAGUGGUUUUUCUUAGCGCGGUUACUUCACGGAGUAUGUAGGCCCUCGUUCUCAGUGUUUGUUAUAUAUAUACUAUUAAAAGAACAUCGGAGGAUCUAGAAGAGUACUCCAAAAACAGUUACAACACUAGUGUUCCCUACGUUGCGACGGAAUACUUAUACUACCAAAUGCUAAACAGCGGCUACAACAGUGUUCCAGGUAACGUACCGGUAGAUCGUUCUACUUUGGGAUGUUCGGUCCCGUAGAAGGAGUAGGGCGGUGAUUCCUACGACAGUCCAACACAUACCUUCUGUUCUCCUUAUUCUUUCUUGGUACUUCGACAGUCAAACGCAGUUGAUCUAUAGAAGACAUUACCUCCUUUUGCUUACGUAGAACAUCGAUGGUCAAACAUUUCCUAUAGAACACAUUCUCGUUCGUAACUUAGCAGUCUGUACGUAGAUAGUAAAAUAUUUGGAUAGCCCACAAAGCCAGUGGGUCUGUUUACAAAGAAAAUAAAUCAAUGGAGAUACUACUCUUAAUAAUCACAAUAAAAACAAACCAAGACCAAAUUAUAAACUCUCAUGUACGUUCAAUAACAUUGAACUAUCUAUCACUACUCUAUACAUUGGACUAACUAUAACAAAACUAUUAUAUUGUACGGUUUAUGGUAACCGUUUCACGUCUACUU
This 1195-nucleotide ribosomal RNA is filed under the name Triticum aestivum (bread wheat). RNAcentral describes it as "partial small subunit ribosomal RNA". Lineage: Eukaryota; Viridiplantae; Streptophyta; Magnoliopsida; Poales; Poaceae. The record is from RNAcentral.